Molecule: RNA transcript, 2955 nt
Organism: Vespa crabro (European hornet)
Lineage: Eukaryota; Metazoa; Arthropoda; Insecta; Hymenoptera; Vespidae
Gene name: tetratricopeptide repeat protein 27
Exons: 11
Source: RefSeq, a predicted model, not a curated record
CAGCAAACGAACAUACGACAAUAAUUUUACACAACACGAUAUUUAAAAUAAAACGAAGAAUAAAUUAAAAUAUAUAAUGGUCAUACAAUAAUUAGAUUGAAUUUUAUGUACUUUUCUUUUAUUGAGUUUAAUUCAGUUUUCAAUUCUAUAUAAAUUGGGUGAAUAAUUCCAAAUGAUUUUCUCGUCACGUGCAUUUGAUUUUUUAACAUAAAUAUCGAUGAUAAUCGUGAUUUAAACCUCUCUAGAUUGAAUAUUAUUUGUACAUACGCAAAUUAUUAAUCUACAAAAGAAUUAUGGAUAAACCUAGAGAAAAGAUUAGUGAAAAAAUAGAAACUCAGCUCUUGACAAACGUCAUAGACGAAGCGUGUAAUGCAGUUAUUAUACGGAAAAUAUUAGAAGGACAAUACGUGGAUGUAUUGCUUGAAUUAGCAUCGGCCAAAUUAUUUGAAUCGCUUUCUAAUAGCGAUGAUUUACAAGAAAUCAUAUAUAAUAAUAUAAAAAAAGAUACAACAGAUAGCUACGAAUGGUUAUGCCUAAGUAUAGCAUCUUUAUUUUACUUUAUUAAAUGCAAUUGGACAGGUCCGAUUACAGAUGACAGAAGCAUUGAAUUAUUAUCGGUUACAAGAGAAAAAGCACUCAAGUAUUUAUCCCUACAUGAUGAAUGUAAUGAGAAUGUUGAAAAGCCAGAAUUUCUUUAUCUAUCUAAAAUAAUAUUCUCAAAUGAGUAUAUGCAAAACAACUAUAAAAGUUGUAUGUGGUGGUUAUUUAGAGCCAAUCUUCUGCAUCAGUUCAUAUUAGAGGAAACUUCAGGAAAAAUAUUUGAAGAAACGGAAGUGUUAAUUGCAAAUAUUGGUGCUUUAAAUAUUGUACGAUCUACUUUUUCAGAAGCUCUAUUUAAUCUCGAAGUUGCACAAUUUUAUUUGUACUAUAAAAGAAUAGAAUGCUCAGAAAAGUAUUUGGCACAUGUUGAAAAUAUUGCUCAAUUAAGAAUGGAAUUGCAAGGUAUUAUGGGAAAGCGAACAAAAUAUCAAAAAGAAUUGAAGCCGCAAUUAUUUUUAAAAAUAAGUAUGGACAAAGAAGAUACAUUUGAGACAAGAAUUUGCAAAAACUUACCAAAGUCUUUAGAUCUAAAUGAUGAUUUAAGACUAGAACGUACUCAAUUUUCUGAAUUUCAGGAUGAAAUUAGAUUGGGAGCAUUGGAAGAAGCCAUUGUUUUAGCAAGACAUACUCAGUUGCAGUUAUCUCAGCCAAGAGAUAAACUUACGGACGAAGAAAUUAAUCCAUAUGUAACUAAAGUAAUCGAUAAUACAAAAAAUUGGUCAUUAAAAAUGACAGCUCUUUGUUGUCGAUGCAUUUAUGAAGCUAAUGACAAAAGAACUGUAGAGCGAUCAAUGUUACAAGCUGAAUAUUUAUUAAAAGAAAUAAAAGAUUGUAAGGUCACAAUGGCAGAAAGAUUAGACAUAUUUUUUGCCAGUGGAAUGAAACCUAUAUGGAUGUUAGAAAAAAUUUUAGCUAAUAUCAUGCUUAGUCUUGGGUUAGUGAAAGGAGCUUUAGACUUGUUUCUCAAAUUGAAACUUUGGGAAGAUGUUAUUCUUUGUUACAACAUACUAGAAUUGAAACACAAAGCUGCAGAAAUUAUACUCCAAAAAAUUGCUAAAAAACCAACAAUUAAAUUAUGGUGUUUGUUGGGUGAUACAACUGGCGAUGUAAAGCAUUAUGAAACAGCAUGGAAAUUAUCAGAUGAGAAAAGUAGUCGCGCACAGAGGCAUUGGGGGUUCUUUUAUUUUCUAAAAAAAGAUUAUGUCGAAGCUAUACCACACUUACGGUUGUCAGUUGAAUUAAAUAAUAUCCAAGAGGAUGUAUGGCUGAGACUUGGCUUUGCAGCAUUGCAAACGGAGGAUUGGAAACUAGCGGCAAUGGCAUACCGACGAUAUUGUGCUUUAGAGCAAACUACUUUCGAGGCAUGGAAUAAUUUAGCAAAGGCAUAUAUAAAAUUAGGUGAUAAAUACAGAGCAUGGAAAGUCCUUUACGAGGCGAUUAAAUGUAAUCACGAUCGUUGGGAAGUUUGGGAUAAUUUGAUGGCCGUUUGCAUUGAUUUGGGACAAUUUUUAGAAGUAAUAAGAUGCUACAAUCGCAUUUUAGACUUAAAAAAUGAGCAUUCAGAUAUUCAGAUUUUGGAAAUAUUAACGAAUGCUAUUGCAAACGACAUUAAAGAUGUUAAUGGCAAAUCAUGUAGAAACUUAUUACUUCUACCGACACUUCAAUUAUUUGGCAGAAUUACAUCUCGUAUAACUAAUAAUUCAGAUCUUUGGAGAUUAUAUUCUGAAUUAACGAUGCUUAAAAGAACAGAUGUUGAUGAUCAGAAAGCUAUGCAAUAUUUACAGAAAGCAUAUCGUGCUGCUGUAUCAGAACCCAAAUGGUUUCAAAAAGAAAAUACUACUUUAUCUGUUCUACAAUUGUGCUGUAAGUUAUCGAAGACGUAUUUACAUUGUUCGUCUUUUUGUACGGAUCAUAUGAGAUCCAAAAGAGCAUUACUAGGUAGUGCUAAAUUAGCAUUACAAGGAAUUAUAAAAAAAGUCAAAGAUAUAUAUUCAGAAAAUGCUGAGGUAAUGCAAAGUUUACAACAAGUUGAAGAAUAUUUCAAAGAAAUUUCAAGUGAACUGGAAAAAAUAUGUCAUUCAAUAGCCGAUAAAUUUUAAUAACAUUCGUGUAAUAGGAAGUGGAAGCAAAUCAUGAAAUCCAAUCAUUUCCAAAGCAGGGAAAGACAGUGGGAUAGAUUUAGAUGAUGAUAAUGCUAUUGGAGAUUGCAAUUUUCCAGCACAAAACUUAAAGUGUUGUGCCCACAUGUGUUGAUCUGAACAAUUAUAUAAUCAUGUUAGAAAAAGCCAUUUUGAGAGAGAGAGAGAGAGAGAGAAUUGUAUAUGGAUUUAAAUAAAAUUAAGUUUCCUAGAUAAA